GGAUGGGAAGAGUCUGUGGAUGCAGCAGUUUCUCACCUUCUAAGAACUUGUCUAUCUAAAAGUUCCAAGGACCAGGCCCUAAACCUUACUAGUCAACUGCACAUUCCUAAAGAUACAUCUAGAUUAAAGAGACACAUCACUUUACUGUGUGAUAGAUUAGCCAAAGGUGGAAGGCUGUCAUUAAGUGCGGAUCCUGUAGCACAAGAAACCAUUGUAAUGCCAGGUAAUUAUUCCUUUGUAUGUACUAUUUGUACUGUAAUUUAUAUUAACAAAUGAAGUAGACAUUCUAAGCACCACAGCUAUUUUAUCUUAGUUAAAUGGUUUAACUGUUCCCUUUGUUCUAAUCAAUUUGAACCAUGAUCGAAAACCUAAUAUUUUAUAACCCUUCAUAUAACUUAGAUCUCUUUUUGGAAUUCUUAGUAUAUCCAUAUUGUUUUACAGCAUCUCCUUAUGUCCUUCAAUAUCCAGAGAAUUAACUCUCUAUAUGUUUCAGGUGUCCUAGCCAUGCUGCUAUCAUAGCAUCCCUUUCAUUCACCAAGUAGUUUCUAAAGCUCGUCGUAUUUUACCCUUCCGUGUGUGACUCAGACCCUCCAGUAUCUUCCAGCUUCUAAUCACCAAUGACGUUCAUACUUGCCUGUUUAGCAGAUAAAGAAUGGACCUCUUUUGUAACUUCUUAAUUUCAUACUGACACCAGACCUGAGUGGAUCCUUAGUAGAUUGACAGACAGUGGACUUUGUGUCAGUGACGCUCACAUUUUACUGCCACUAGCAUUCGUGAUCAGCACAUACAGCAUGCUGAUGGUGAACGCAUACCCUUUACACUCACAAGUGUGUCUGCUAGCAUAAGCUGACUGUGCUUUAUAUCAUAAAAAGAAAAAAGGGUCAGUGUGUCUUUAAAACAGACUAAAACAUUAAAGUGCAAAAAAUUGUAUAAGUGCACUGUGUUAUAUUACUUCUCAGUAAAAAACCUUAUGUACAAAAAAAUAGCAAAUCUGUGCUAAAGUAUUAAAGUGCCCAAAAAAAAAAAUUACAGUGCUUAUAGUGGAUAACAGAAAAAGUACUUGCACUGAAUAACUCACUUACUUGACUCAGAAUAAGGGUAUAUCUCUUCCAAUAUUCUCAGAAGCAUAUAAUGUAAACAAGAUAAAAGAAAAUAUAUAGUGUAAUACAAUAUGAAUAAAAAACACUCAAUGGCUAAUAUUAAAAACCCAUUCACAAGUGGAGAGCAGAGAAGCCUGCUCUAACUGUCAAAGCAAUAGCAGCAGCAAGUGGAUAAAACAUCUUAAUUUUGAAAGUAUUCAUAAAAUCACCCAAUGCCCAUCACCUCCUGACUGGAACUACUUCCAUGUGCUCGGAUACAGUCCCUCCUGUUCGUUGCCGGCUGUGCUUUAUACAUGUGUACACAGCUUAAUCCUCUCCCAUACUUGGCUGCUCUGUAUUAUGACAUUUAAUUAUAGCUUCUCUAUGAGAAGCAUUGCAUUUGUUGAUUUGUCAAUAACUAUUUAACUAAAUGUGUCUCUGUGGAAUAAUUUGAUCGGACACUAACCAUCUGGGCAGAAAAGGGAAGGAUCAGCUAAGCUGCAGAAGUCAGAUCAGCAGCUAACACAACAAAAGUAUUGUUGACUUAUACUAAGAAGUCCUUUCUAAAAAAAAAUAAAAAAUUAUUCAACUAAAAAAAAAAUUAAAAAAUAUAUAUACUUUUCAUUUAUUUUUAUUUUUUUGACCAGACCUAGAGUGUUCCUUUAGAACAUUUCAAAGCACAAAAGGUUUGGAUAACAGAAAAGUAGCUAAUGGACUCCUGUCCUUCAGUAAAAUAUUUUUAUGACACACAUUCCAUGACCCUCGAGCUUAAAAUGUGUCAAACUCAAAUUUUUUUCUCACAUAAAUAGUUGGUUGAAAAGUCAAAGGACUUGUAAAUAAUACACCAUAAGCUAAGUAUAAAGAGUAACGAGUGUGAUAAGAGUCAACAUCCUCCUGGGAUUGUAAAAUCAUUUCUCUAAGGCUACAAAACGACAGACCAUAAUGUGUAGACAUUCCAUAUCCUUAUGGACAAAAAGCUGCUUUUGAAAUCUAAACUGACGGUACACAACAUAAUUACAUACAUACCUUUCUGAAAACUUAGUAUGGAAAACAAAGUAUGUUUUCCUAUUUUUUAGGGCAAAUAGAUUAUUAAUCAUAAUCAAAGUAUUAUUUUGUAUUUUAAAGUAAACAGGUGCUAUCAACUUAAUAGCACACGUUAAUCACCAUAACCCAUAGAGAGUAUUGUUGUGGUUAUGGUGGAAGUGGUCUUUUUGUGAAACAGUUUUUUGUGCAGUUAAAAAAAAAAAAAAAAAAAAUCUCUCUAGACACUCAAAACGAGGCCACCCAGCUGCUGACUGAUAUUAGGGAAGUAUCACUUCUUGUCUGUUCAUAUACAUCCAAUAUAUCCUUCCUGUGUGUGGUGGCUGAGUGCAUAUUGUAGUUUUGAGCAGUAAAUGUUCGGUAUAACAGUAUACUUCAGAACAGUAAGGAAAGCUAUUUAUUUUUGCGCAGGAAGGACACAAUUUUUCAAACAGAAGAAACUUGCUUCACCAAUUAACAUUUUGUGCAUUUACACGCAAAUAUUAUGAUUAUGCAAUGACGCAAAUACACACCUUGAAGAAUUGGGGGUCAUACUUCAAAUUGGUUUCUUUAUGUACAAAUACUUGUACUCUAGGUUUCAUCAGUUAACAGUUAUACAUGGAUAACAAACAACAGAUUAAGAUGUUUCUAGCAAUUAGUGCAUGUAUUUCUCACAACUCCUGGAUAUUUCAAGUAGUACUCAGAUCAUACAUGUUUAAUUAGUUAGGUUUAAAGGAAUACUAUAGGCAUCGAGGCCAUGUCAUCUCAAUGAAGUGGUCUGGGUUCAGUGUCCCUGUUUCCUUAACCCUGCAAUGUAAAACAUUGCAGUUCUAGAGAAUCUGCAGUGUCGACAUUGCAGGGUUAAGAAUGCUCUUAGUGGCUCUUUGGCCACUAGAGGCGAUUCCUGCAGUUUCACAGUUUUUAACUCUGUGAAACGUCACUGGACAUCCUCACGCUAUGCAUGAGGACGUCCAGCAUCUUGCAAAACACAAGAGGAAAGCAUUGAGCCUAAUGUGGAGACAGAACUCCCCAGGCAUGCGCAUUAGGUUCCCCUUUGUACUGAUAUCGGAGGAGGAGUAGACCGAGCCUGGAAUCUGGAAGUGGAAGUGUUAAAAGGCGCUUUAUUUUAACCCUAUCUGAGCAAUGGGGGUGCGGAAGUAGAGGGAAAGUGUAGUAUUUGGAAUACAGUUUUAUAUUCCCAACACUAUUAAAAUGUGUUUCUUUAAUAUUAAGACUGCACCAUGUCAGUUUUAGUUUGUGUUUUAAUGGCUUCAUUAUUUUAUUUGAAUAUUAAAAUCAUUACACAGCUACACAAAUAAUGGCUUGAAUGUACAAACUAAUAUAUAAUUUUAAAAUCUUGGAAGUGUUGCAUCAUUUGGCACAGAAAGGUGGCUAAUGUGGAGUGUGGCAUUUUCUAAGAAAAAUGUAAAAAAGUUUUUGUUUUUUUAUUAAUUUACUUUAGAUGCUUUCCCAUAGUCCUUUUUUGUGAUAUGUAUAUUUAAUACUUUAAAAAUGUUGCUAUUAAAAGUAUGUAUCUCUUAAAGCUUUAUAGAAGGUAAAGGACAAACGAAUAACCAAAUAUCAUUCUAUUCUUCCAUAUGCUGAAAAAAUAAUGUCAUUACAUUUGUUGUUGAUUUUGUGUGUUUUGUCUGGAAGAAAUUAUACCUGAAUUCUAUAUAUAUUUUUUUGUAGGACUUCCCACGAAUUCUCCUAUGCCAAAGAGCAAUGCAUAGUUUUAUAUAUCUAUGAAUUGUAAUACAACAUUUUAGUACAUUUUAGACUUGCAAUACAAUUGUGACAUUAUAAUCUGUCCUAACACUGUGCACUGGCAUCAUUAGGAGUAAAUGACGAAGUGGACGGAGAACGGGACUCGAAACUCCAGGGACAUUUUUGAGGGGCCCACUGCAAAAGAAAUGUUGAGACUUGAUAAGAAAUGUGAAUUGCUGCUGUACUUUUCGAUCCUUCAAGCCAUUGAAUAAUAAAUGUGUGCGCAGUUGAAAUAAUGUGAAAUUUGUUAAAACAAUGUUAAUGAUGAUUAUCAUUUACCUGCAGUAAAUGUAGUGUUUAUUUAAGUUUAAGGUUGCAAAUUGUUUUAGUUUAUCACAGGUAAAAGUGAAUUGUUGAUUUAUUUUACCAUGUUUAAGCUUUAUUGAGGUUUUUUCAUGAUUAUAUCAGUUAGAGCAGCAUUUGUACCAGGUUAGCUUCUGCAACAGCCAAAUCUUUUCUGCAUUGUCUAGCGCUACCACGUAAAACAUAACUUAGCGCUAUUACAAGUCGUUAAUAGGAAACAAAAUAUUCCAAACUAUACCACACUUGAUUCUAAUAUUGAGGUAUUGAGGCCACUUUAAAAAAUUUAUAUAUAUAUAUAUUUUUUUUUUUGCUUAAUAUGUUAUUUUGUUACAGUAUAGUAGCAAAGUUGGUCCUCAAAUACAUUCAAAUUGCAGAUUUUCACUGUAAUCUUACAUGAGAACAGGUUGGUUAAACAACACAUGAUCAACAAUCUGAAAGUUCAAUUUCUGUUUAUAAAGCUAAAUCUGCACUUAUGUGGCAAGAUUCUGAAAAUGCCACUAUUGAUUGUUUUUCGAUGACCAACUUUGGGAUCCUAGGGUAAUUGAGUGAGCUCUUUAUCCAAAUUGUAAAACUUCAAAUCCACAUAUUCUGGAAGUUGGAGUGAUUGAUCACUUCUUAUUCAAAGUGAAUAUUUGUCUGCAUGUGUAGCCGAGGCACACUUUCUACUUGGGAUAUGUAGGCAAUGCAAAACAGUAUAUUUUAGAAUUUGCAUAUGGACAUGUUAUUAAUGCUUACACAAAUUUAGAAAUAUAGCUCAUAAUUAGGACUCAGGUUUCGGUCUAUUAAUUACUUUGUUAUUGCAUCUUUUUUAUGAGGGCUGUUGACUUUCUUAAAACAUUUUUAGGUUUUACUACAAAACUUUCUCCACUUUCUUACUUUUUCCAUAAGAUGUGACGAUGGACAAGGAUAGAGGGUGACAUGCUAUCAAAGUGGGCUAAUAGCAAAACCACUAAUUUCUGAGAACUCUACAGGUUACAUAAUAGAUGCAGGCAUAUUAAUACACCUGAAGAUGGCACAGUUUGGGUCCCCUGUUCCAAAGCCUUGUGUCAUUCUUCUGGUGCCCUACUUCUCAGGUAUACCAAUGAAAAUCUAACAAAAAUGCCAUCUGAGCACUCAUGGAUGCACUCUCAUGUCGGAGGUCUGCAUUAUCUGGCUGUCAGUUCACACAUUCAGUUGCAGUUAAUGCCCUUGCAUGUCAUUGAUACAGCACCAGUUUCCCAAAGUAUGGAAUUACAAUAUCAGAAGACCAUAAAAAAAAAAAAAACACCAGUAUCUUAAAUGGGCAAUAUGGUCACCACAAUAACUUUAGCUUAAAUGGACACUGUAGGCACCCAGACCAUAUAUAGCUAAUUGAAGUAGUUUGGGUGCAGUGACCCUUUUGUACUUAGUGCUGCAAUGUAAACAUUGCAGUUCCAGAGAACUGCAGUGUUUACAUUGCAGUACUAAUUCUGCGUUCUGUGGCUGUCUAACAGACAGCCACUAGAGGGCUUCUGGAAUCCAAACGCACACCUACCUGCAUGUAACUUGCACGGCCUUCCUAAACACUUCAUGUAGUAGUAUUAUUAUUGCGAUUGAUAUACCGCCAACAGAUUCUGUAGCGCUUGUAAAGAUGUCAUCUAAGGUUUACACUUCAUUUAUUGCAAAUUCUGUUUAAUGUAAUUUCUUAUCUUAAUAUAUUGAGCUUUCAGUAGGCAAUUAAAGCUCAAUUUACAGAGCAGGAGAUACAAAACUUCUAAAGUAAGUUACAUCUGAUAGAUUUUUUUUUCUUCAUUCCAGCUGUGUCAGUCACAGCCAGGGGAGAUGUCUCUAGUGCUGCAUAAAUAGAAACAAAACGAUUUAACUCUUAAAUAGCAGGUAAUUCAGCAGUUACACUUCAGAGGUAUGAUCUAUACACUAAAUCUGCUUAUUUAAGCUAAAGUUGUUUUGGUGACUAUAGUGUCCCUUUAAUGUAUUUAUUAAACUAUUAAUAGCCAUACUAAGUAUGAAAUAUGGUCUCUUACAGUACAGUUUGGUUACCGAUAAAUGACCGUAGAGACACAACACAUUUGAUAAGACCGCCAGUGUUCCAUUUUUACUAAUUAAAGGGACACUAUGGGCACCAACGCAACUUAAUAGUUUUUGAUAUGUUGUGGCCUUAUCUUACUGAUUUAUUUUUUUCCACAUUCAAAAAGCAUUUUAUGCAGUGUAAGUUCACAGUUCAGAAAAUAAGAGAUAAGUGUGAGAUCAGCAGCUGACAUUACUGUGCACCACUGCCAAUAACUGUUGUUUUCCUCUAAGCACAGCUUUUGAAUUCUUUACAGGUAAUAAGAUUGGCUAUGGGCAGAAUUUAGCAGAAAGAUAUUUGAAUGUAGAGAAGAAUACAGCAUGAAAAUAAGGCCAAAAGUCACAUGCGCUUAUUUCUAGUUGGUGCCUAGAGUGCACCUUUAACGCCCCCUUUGUGUUCUUUAGGAAUUUCUUUAUGUGUUUAUCUAGAGGGACUAUAUGAAACAUCAACAAACCAAUGUAUUGUGAUACAUGUCUGUAUCAAAUAAACAUUUUGUGUUUCAUUACUGUCUGUAUUUUAAAUUGGAAAAUUAUAAUUUUUUUUUUACAAUCUUUAAUUUAG
This 6774-nucleotide long non-coding RNA is filed under the name Pelobates cultripes (western spadefoot toad). Lineage: Eukaryota; Metazoa; Chordata; Amphibia; Anura; Pelobatidae. The record is from RNAcentral.